Molecule: ribosomal RNA, 232 nt
Filed under: uncultured bacterium
Lineage: Bacteria
Description: partial 16S ribosomal RNA
Rfam family: Bacterial small subunit ribosomal RNA
Source: RNAcentral
GAUCCUGCUCAGGACGAACGCUGGCGGCGUGCCUAAUACAUGCAAGUAGAACGCUGAAGAGAGGAGCUUGCUCUUCUUGGAUGAGUUGCGAACGGGUGAGUAACGCGUAGGUAACCUGCCUUGUAGCGGGGGAUAACUAUUGGAAACGAUAGCUAAUACCGCAUAACAAUGGAUGACACAUGUCAUUUAUUUGAAAGGGGCAAUUGCUCCACUACAAGAUGGACCUGCGUUG